Molecule: transfer RNA, 76 nt
Filed under: Nitrososphaeria archaeon
Lineage: Archaea; Thermoproteati; Nitrososphaerota; Nitrososphaeria
Description: tRNA-Arg
Rfam family: tRNA
About the family: Transfer RNA (tRNA) molecules are approximately 80 nucleotides in length.
Source: RNAcentral
GGGCCCGUAGCCUAGUACGGAUCAGGGCGCGAGCCUCCGGAGCUCGCGGUCGUGGGUUCAAAUCCCACCGGGCCCG